CCUACGGGAGGCAGCAGUGGGGAAUUUUGGACAAUGGGCGCAAGCCUGAUCCAGCAAUGCCGCGUGCAGGAUGAAGGCCUUCGGGUUGUAAACUGCUUUUGUACGGAACGAAACGGCGAGCUCUAAUAAAGUUCGCUAAUGACGGUACCGUAAGAAUAAGCACCGGCUAACUACGUGCCAGCAGCCGCGGUAAUACGUAGGGUGCAAGCGUUAAUCGGAAUUACUGGGCGUAAAGCGUGCGCAGGCGGUGAUGUAAGACAGAUGUGAAAUCCCCGGGCUCAACCUGGGACCUGCAUUUGUGACUGCAUCGCUAGAGUACGGUAGAGGGGGAUGGAAUUCCGCGUGUAGCAGUGAAAUGCGUAGAUAUGCGGAGGAACACCGAUGGCGAAGGCAAUCCCCUGGACCUGUACUGACGCUCAUGCACGAAAGCGUGGGGAGCAAACAGGAUUAGAUACCCUGGUAGUCCACGCCCUAAACGAUGUCAACUGGUUGUUGGGUCUUCACUGACUCAGUAACGAAGCUAACGCGUGAAGUUGACCGCCUGGGGAGUACGGCCGCAAGGUUGAAACGUCAAAGGAAUUGACGG
Molecule: ribosomal RNA, 586 nt
Filed under: uncultured bacterium
Lineage: Bacteria
Description: bacterial SSU rRNA
Rfam family: Bacterial small subunit ribosomal RNA
Source: RNAcentral